AGCAGUCCUUGACUCGAGGGAGGAUUUGGGGAAGAAGACGACGGCAUUGUUGAAGAGGAGGAGCAGGUCUCGGUAGAAGGGGAGAGAGAGAUCUUGGCUUGGAGUUCCAUGGCGACGGUGUCCCGGUCGUGGAUGCCGUAGCGCUUGACGGCGCAUGCUAGCAGGAGCUCCUCCCACGUGCCCCAGGAGGACGUAGACGUCGUCGUUUGGUCACUAGUAGUAGUAAUGUUGUUGUUGUUGAAACUAGGACUGCCGCCAGUGGCAGCGCCACCUUUCAUGGUGACGUUUAUGGGGUUGGAUUGUGGCAGCCAGGGACAGGAGAGUGAGGAGGAUUAGAGUCCUGCGGUUGUUUGGAAUUGGGUUGAGAGGAGAUGGGAGAUCGGUCCUGGGUAUGAUGCUGAAUUUGGACAAUAGGUUUGGGCCUGGUCACUGCCACUUGGGUUUGGAUGUCCUCCUUUUGGUGGGCUGGCUGCUGAUGCAUAUACAUACAUACAUAUAUAUAUAUAUAUGUAUAUGUAUGUAAAAGAACUCCUUUUUUUUUUCUUUCUUUUUAAAUACAUAAAACAUAUGUGUGUGUGUAUAUAUAUAUAUAUAUAUAUUUUUUUUUAAUAAAACAUUAUUAUUAUUGUUUUUUUAUUUGAUGUGACUGAACUUGAAAUUGAAUAUUCAAGCUGCCUACGUACCCUUCCAAAGAGAUCAAGUCAAAACGUAGUUCAAAUACAUACAUAUUUUUUGGUAUUUUCUUUUUGUGCCGUUUACAGUUUUAACUCAUGCAGGCAAUGAGUGUUGUGCCAUGCAGUUUAGGCUCUUACAGACAAGGAGCUUUGGUUCGUGCAGUUUAGGCUCAUGCGAACAAGGAGCAUUGGUGAAUUUGUCAAGCAAUUUUGGAGAGGCGUUCCUCACAAUCUUCAUAGCACGGAGCCUUGACCGAGUGAUUGAAGAAGUCUUCGGGCAAGAAAUCGCGCAUUGUGAUGGGGACGGACGAUCUUCGUGUCGAAGUUUCAUCAUCUUCAACACGUUCACGUUGCUUUGAAGGUUGACAAGAGCUGCUUUGCCCCCUUUCCGAUUAGCGAACUUGUGGAGGAGACGUAUGCUUCUUGUGCAAUUUCUUAGGAGUGACUUGAGUCCAUCCUUCAACUUUGCUUGUCUUGGAGGAUGCCCCUAGCGGUUGAGGUGAAAAUUUGAGUCGGAAGAGCCAGAAGUGAAGGUGGUAUAGUUUGACUUCACCACAUCGUCAAGAUCUAGCUCGAUGAUUCCUUUCUGAGCCAGUUUCAUGAUGAGAUCUUUCAGCACGAAACAUUUUUCUGUCGGAUGACUGAUGAAGCGGUGGAAUUUACAGUAC
RNAcentral lists this long non-coding RNA (1342 nucleotides) under Malus domestica (apple). Its description in RNAcentral is "long non-coding RNA (MDOM_LNC017021)". Lineage: Eukaryota; Viridiplantae; Streptophyta; Magnoliopsida; Rosales; Rosaceae. The record is from RNAcentral.